GCCUGAGUGGCUCUGUCGGUUGAGCGUCCAACUUCGGCCCAGGUCAUGAUCUCACGGUUCGUGAGUUCGAGCCCCACCUCAGGCU
Molecule: non-coding RNA, 85 nt
Organism: Felis catus (domestic cat)
Lineage: Eukaryota; Metazoa; Chordata; Mammalia; Carnivora; Felidae
Source: Rfam